This 229-nucleotide ribosomal RNA is filed under the name uncultured bacterium. RNAcentral describes it as "partial 16S ribosomal RNA". It matches the Rfam family "Bacterial small subunit ribosomal RNA", at positions 103 to 334 of the family's 1533-position model. The record is from RNAcentral.
CGGGUGAGUAAUGUAUAGUUAAUCUGCCCUUUAGAGGGGGAUAACAGUUGGAAACGACUGCUAAUACCCCAUACUCCUUCUAUGUUAAUCAUAGUUGGGAAAUGUUUUUUCGCUAAAGGAUGAGACUAUAUGGUAUCAGGUAGUUGGUGGGGUAAGAGCCUACCAAGCCAAUGACGCCUAGCUGGUCUGAGAGGAUGAUCAGCCACACUGGGACUGAGACACGGUCCAG